AUUGAACGCUGGCGGCAUGCUUUACACAUGCAAGUCGAACGGUAACAGGCCGCAAGGUGCUGACGAGUGGCGAACGGGUGAGUAAUGCAUCGGAACGUGCCCAGUCGUGGGGGAUAACUACUCGAAAGAGUAGCUAAUACCGCAUACGAUCUAUGGAUGAAAGCGGGGGACCGUAAGGCCUCGCGCGAUUGGAGCGGCCGAUGUCAGAUUAGGUAGUUGGUGGGGUAAAGGCUCACCAAGCCAACGAUCUGUAGCUGGUCUGAGAGGACAACCAGCCACACUGGGACUGAGACACGGCCCAGACUCCUACGGGAGGCAGCAGUGGGGAAUGUUGGACAAUGGGCGCAAGCCUGAUCCAGCAAUGCCGCGUGCAGGAAGAAGGCCUUCGGGUUGUAAACUGCUUUUGUACGGAACGAAACGGCUCUGGUUAAUACCCGGGGCUAAUGACGGUACCGUAAGAAUAAGCACCGGCUAACUACGUG
This 482-nucleotide ribosomal RNA is filed under the name uncultured bacterium. RNAcentral describes it as "partial 16S ribosomal RNA". It matches the Rfam family "Bacterial small subunit ribosomal RNA", at positions 30 to 507 of the family's 1533-position model. The record is from RNAcentral.